This 75-nucleotide transfer RNA is filed under the name Kaistella antarctica. RNAcentral's name for it is "Chryseobacterium antarcticum tRNA_Val_GAC". It matches the Rfam family "tRNA". From Rfam's summary of the family: Transfer RNA (tRNA) molecules are approximately 80 nucleotides in length. Their secondary structure includes four short double-helical elements and three loops (D, anti-codon, and T loops). Further hydrogen bonds mediate the characteristic L-shaped molecular structure. tRNAs have two regions of fundamental functional importance: the anti-codon, which is responsible for specific mRNA codon recognition, and the 3' end, to which the tRNAs corresponding amino acid is attached (by aminoacyl-tRNA synthetases). tRNAs cope with the degeneracy of the genetic code in two manners: having more than one tRNA (with a specific anti-codon) for a particular amino acid; and 'wobble' base-pairing, i.e. permitting non-standard base-pairing at the 3rd anti-codon position. RNAcentral also lists the same sequence under 2 other names. Lineage: Bacteria; Pseudomonadati; Bacteroidota; Flavobacteriia; Flavobacteriales; Weeksellaceae. The record is from RNAcentral.
GGGCAGUUAGCUCAGUUGGUUUAGAGCGCUGCGUCGACAUCGCAGAGGUCACUGGUUCGAACCCAGUACCGCCCA